GGUUAAGUGAAUAAGGGCGCACGGUGGAUGCCUUGGCACUAGGAGCCGAUGAAGGACGGGACUAACACCGAUAUGCUUUGGGGAGCUGUAAGUAAGCUAUGAUCCAGAGAUUUCCGAAUGGGGGAACCCAAUAUCUUUUAUAGGAUAUUACUUUUCAGUGAAUACAUAGCUGAUUAGAGGUAGACGCAGAGAACUGAAACAUCUUAGUACCUGCAGGAAGAGAAAGAAAAUUCGAUUCCCUGAGUAGCGGCGAGCGAAACGGGAAGAGCCCAAACCAACAAGCUUGCUUGUUGGGGUUGUAGGACUCCAAUAUGGUAGUCUGUUAGUAUAGUUGAAGGAUUUGGAAAAUUCCGCUAAAGAGGGUGAAAGCCCCGUAGACGAAAUGCUAACAACACCUAGGAGGAUCCUGAGUACGGCGGAACACGAGAAAUUCCGUCGGAAUCCGCGGGGACCAUCCCGCAAGGCUAAAUACUCCCUAGUGACCGAUAGUGAACCAGUACCGUGAGGGAAAGGUGAAAAGCACCCCGGAAGGGGAGUGAAAUAGAUCCUGAAACCGUGUGCCUACAACAAGUCAAAGCUCGUUAAUGAGUGAUGGCGUGCCUUUUGUAGAAUGAACCGGCGAGUUACGAUUGCAUGCGAGGUUAAGUCGAAGAGACGGAGCCGCAGCGAAAGCGAGUCUGAAUAGGGCGAAUGAGUAUGUAGUCGUAGACCCGAAACCAUGUGAUCUACCCAUGUCCAGGUUGAAGGUGCGGUAAAACGCACUGGAGGACCGAACCCACGUACGUUGAAAAGUGCGGGGAUGAGGUGUGGGUAGCGGAGAAAUUCCAAACGAACUUGGAGAUAGCUGGUUCUCUCCGAAAUAGCUUUAGGGCUAGCCUCGGAAUUGAGAAUGAUGGAGGUAGAGCACUGUUUGGACUAGGGGCCCAUCUCGGGUUACCGAAUUCAGAUAAACUCCGAAUGCCAUUCAUUUAUAUCCGGGAGUCAGACUGCGAGUGAUAAGAUCCGUAGUCGAAAGGGAAACAGCCCAGACCACCAGCUAAGGUCCCAAAAUAUAUGUUAAGUGGAAAAGGAUGUGGGGUUGCACAGACAACUAGGUAAUAGCUCACUAGUCGAGUGACCCUGCGCCGAAAAUGUACCGGGGCUAAACAUAUUACCGAAGCUGUGGACUACACCAUUAGGUGUAGUGGUAGGAGAGCGUUCUAAGGGCGUUGAAGGUCGAUCGUGAGGACGGCUGGAGCGCUUAGAAGUGAGAAUGCCGGUAUGAGUAGCGAAAGACAGGUGAGAAUCCUGUCCACCGUAUGACUAAGGUUUCCUGGGGAAGGCUCGUCCGCCCAGGGUUAGUCGGGACCUAAGCCGAGGCCGAUAGGCGUAGGCGAUGGACAACAGGUUGAUAUUCCUGUACCAGUUGUUUUUGUUUGAGCAAUGGAGGGACGCAGUAGGCUAAGGAAUGCAUGCGAUUGGAAGUGCAUGUCCAAGCAAUGAGUCUUGAGUAGAGUUAAAUGCUUUACUCUUUAAGGACAAGUUGUGACGGGGAGCGAAAUAAUAGUAGCGAAGUUCCUGAUGUCACACUGCCAAGAAAAGCUUCUAGUGAGAAAAUAACUGCCCGUACCGUAAACCGACACAGGUAGUCGAGGAGAGUAUCCUAAGGUGAGCGAGCGAACUCUCGUUAAGGAACUCGGCAAAAUGACCCCGUAACUUCGGGAGAAGGGGUGCUGACGACCGUCAGCCGCAGUGAAUAGGCCCAAGCGACUGUUUAUCAAAAACACAGGUCUCUGCAAAAUCGUAAGAUGAAGUAUAGGGGCUGACGCCUGCCCGGUGCUGGAAGGUUAAGAGGAUGGGUUAGCUUCGGCGAAGCUCAGAAUUGAAGCCCCAGUAAACGGCGGCCGUAACUAUAACGGUCCUAAGGUAGCGAAAUUCCUUGUCGGGUAAGUUCCGACCCGCACGAAAGGCGUAACGAUUUGGGCAGGUUACCCGCGACAGGACGGAAAGACCCCAUGGAGCUUUACUGUAGUUUGAUAUUGAGUGUUUGUACCACAUGUACAGGAUAGGUAGGAGCCGAUGAGACCGGAACGCUAGUUUCGGAGGAGGCGCUGGUGGGAUACUACCCUUGUGUUAUGAACCCUCUAACCCGCACCACUAAUCGUGGUGGGAGACAGUGUCAGAUGGGCAGUUUGACUGGGGCGGUCGCCUCCUAAAAGGUAACGGAGGCGCCCAAAGGUUCCCUCAGAAUGGUUGGAAAUCAUUCGAAGAGUGUAAAGGCAGAAGGGAGCUUGACUGCGAGACCUACAAGUCGAGCAGGGACGAAAGUCGGGCUUAGUGAUCCGGUGGUUCCGCAUGGAAGGGCCAUCGCUCAACGGAUAAAAGCUACCCUGGGGAUAACAGGCUUAUC
This 2389-nucleotide ribosomal RNA is filed under the name Bifidobacterium breve. Its description in RNAcentral is "partial 23S ribosomal RNA". It matches the Rfam family "Bacterial large subunit ribosomal RNA", at positions 1 to 2487 of the family's 2925-position model. The record is from RNAcentral. Lineage: Bacteria; Bacillati; Actinomycetota; Actinomycetes; Bifidobacteriales; Bifidobacteriaceae.